UCAGCACUUGAUAGAUAUGCUUCGUAGUAUCUCGUUAUUAGUCCCCAAACAUGGUUCGAUGGGUGGAAAAGAUACCGGCCCAGAUGAUGGAAGACGGUGUCUUUUUGGGGGAACAAGUUACUGAGUUCGUGCUCAAACGAUGGGAUCAAGAAGAGAGAUGGAACAAAGUAGUUAUCUGUCUUCAGUAUUAGCCAAGGGAUCCUG
This 204-nucleotide unclassified non-coding RNA is filed under the name Hevea brasiliensis (rubber tree). Lineage: Eukaryota; Viridiplantae; Streptophyta; Magnoliopsida; Malpighiales; Euphorbiaceae. The record is from RNAcentral.